GACGAACGUUGGCGGCGUGCCUAAUACAUGCAAGUCAACUGAAAUACCGGUAGCAAUACUGGUAUGGAGGUGGCGCACGGGUGAGUAACACGUAGGUAAUCUGCCUUCAGGUCUGACAUAACCCAUCGAAAGGUGAGCUAAUAUCAGAUGAUGCAGCGGCUUGACAUCAAGACAGUUGUUAAAGCUUCGGCGCCUGAAGAUGAGCCNGCGUCUGAUUAGCUAGCUGGCGGGGUAACGGCCCACCAAGGCUGCGAUCAGUAGCUGGUCUGAGAGGAUGAUCAGUCACACUGGAACUGAGACACGGUCCAGACUCCUACGGGAGCAGCAGUAAGGAAUAUUGCUCAAUGGCCGAAAGGCUGAAGCAGCAACGCCGCGUGAGGGAU
RNAcentral lists this ribosomal RNA (383 nucleotides) under uncultured bacterium. RNAcentral describes it as "bacterial SSU rRNA". It matches the Rfam family "Bacterial small subunit ribosomal RNA", at positions 28 to 409 of the family's 1533-position model. The record is from RNAcentral.